RNAcentral lists this ribosomal RNA (651 nucleotides) under Enterococcus faecium. RNAcentral describes it as "bacterial SSU rRNA". It matches the Rfam family "Bacterial small subunit ribosomal RNA", at positions 1 to 622 of the family's 1533-position model. The record is from RNAcentral. Lineage: Bacteria; Bacillati; Bacillota; Bacilli; Lactobacillales; Enterococcaceae.
UUUUUAUGAGAGUUUGAUCCUGGCUCAGGACGAACGCUGGCGGCGUGCCUAAUACAUGCAAGUCGAACGCUUCUUUUUCCACCGGAGCUUGCUCCACCGGAAAAAGAGGAGUGGCGAACGGGUGAGUAACACGUGGGUAACCUGCCCAUCAGAAGGGGAUAACACUUGGAAACAGGUGCUAAUACCGUAUAACAAUCGAAACCGCAUGGUUUUGAUUUGAAAGGCGCUUUCGGGUGUCACUGAUGGAUGGACCCGCGGUGCAUUAGCUAGUUGGUGAGGUAACGGCUCACCAAGGCCACGAUGCAUAGCCGACCUGAGAGGGUGAUCGGCCACAUUGGGACUGAGACACGGCCCAAACUCCUACGGGAGGCAGCAGUAGGGAAUCUUCGGCAAUGGACGAAAGUCUGACCGAGCAACGCCGCGUGAGUGAAGAAGGUUUUCGGAUCGUAAAACUCUGUUGUUAGAGAAGAACAAGGAUGAGAGUAACUGUUCAUCCCUUGACGGUAUCUAACCAGAAAGCCACGGCUAACUACGUGCCAGCAGCCGCGGUAAUACGUAGGUGGCAAGCGUUGUCCGGAUUUAUUGGGCGUAAAGCGAGCGCAGGCGGUUUCUUAAGUCUGAUGUGAAAGCCCCCGGCUCAACCGGGGAGGG